This 460-nucleotide ribosomal RNA is filed under the name uncultured bacterium. Its description in RNAcentral is "partial 16S ribosomal RNA". It matches the Rfam family "Bacterial small subunit ribosomal RNA", at positions 338 to 795 of the family's 1533-position model. The record is from RNAcentral.
CCUACGGGGGGCAGCAGUGAGGAAUAUUGGUCAAUGGACGAAAGUCUGAACCAGCCAUGCCGCGUGCAGGAAGACGGCUCUAUGAGUUGUAAACUGCUUUUGUACAAGGGUAAACCUGAAUACGUGUAUUCCGCUGAAAGUACUGUACGAAUAAGGAUCGGCUAACUCCGUGCCAGCAGCCGCGGUAAUACGGAGGAUCCAAGCGUUAUCCGGAUUUAUUGGGUUUAAAGGGUGCGUAGGCGGAUUGAUAAGUUAGAGGUGAAAUGUCCGAGCUUAACUCGGGAACUGCCUCUAAUACUGGUGAUCUAGAGAGUAGGUGCGGUAGGCGGAAUGUAUGGUGUAGCGGUGAAAUGCUUAGAGAUCAUACAGAACACCGAUUGCGAAGGCAGCGUACCAAUCUAUAUCUGACGUUGAGGCACGAAAGCGUGGGGAGCAAACAGGAUUAGAUACCCCGGUAGUC